Molecule: ribosomal RNA, 511 nt
Filed under: uncultured bacterium
Lineage: Bacteria
Description: partial 16S ribosomal RNA
Rfam family: Bacterial small subunit ribosomal RNA
Source: RNAcentral
GACGAACGCUGGCGGCAUGCCUAACACAUGCAAGUCGAACGGACAGAACAGGGUAUCUUGUCGUGGUGGAACUGGAAAGUUGGGAGCGGCUGGGGGAGUAACGCGUGGACAACCUACCUUGUAAAGAGGAAUAACCUCGAGAAAUCGAAGCGAAUACCCCACAAUAACCUUGCUUCGCGUGAGGUAAGGCGGAAGGGCGGCCUCACCCCUGUCAAUAGCAGGUGGGUCCGCGUCUGAUUUGCUAGGUGGUGGGGUAAAGGCUCACCAAGGCGACGAUCAGGAGACGGCCUGAGAGAGUGAUCGCCGGCAUUGGGAGUUAGACAGCGCCCAAACUCCUACGGGAGGCAGCAGUGGGGAAUCUGACGCAAUGGGGGAGAGCCUGACAGAGCAAUGCCGCGUGAGUGAAGACGGCCCUCGGGGUGUAAAACCCUGUCUCUAGCGAAGAGCGAGUGUUGCAGUAACUGAAAAGAGUAGGACGGUAGAUGAGGAGGAAGCCCCGGCUAACUACGUG